UUUCCGUAGGUGAACCUGCGGAAGGAUCAUUAAUGUGUUUGGGCCUCACGGCUCUUCAUUCCGACGCUGUGCGCCUUCGGGCUGCACGCUGAGGGAGCAUAUAUCCACCCCUGUGCACACACACGGUGGCGAGCUGGGUAACGGCUCGCCGCUGAUCUUUACACACGUCUAAAAGUCAUUGUAUGUUUAUUUGAGAUAAAAACACAACUUUCAGCAACGGAUCUCUUGGCUCUCGCAUCGAUAUAGAACGCAGC
This 254-nucleotide unclassified non-coding RNA is filed under the name plant metagenome. RNAcentral's name for it is "partial contains small subunit ribosomal RNA, internal transcribed spacer 1, and 5.8S ribosomal RNA". The stretch from base 206 to 254 matches the Rfam family "5.8S ribosomal RNA", at positions 1 to 49 of the family's 154-position model. The record is from RNAcentral.